CCGCCGCGCCCGCGGGCAGAGCAGGAGCACCGGCGGCCCGGGCACUCUUCUCCCCCUUGGAGAUCCGGCAUCAAAACCAGCCCUCGACCCACCGCCCGCUCCACGCGCGGAUGAGGGACGGUGCUGAACGGGGUCCCGUCUGCUGGGGCUUGGCCCCUCGGGGAUGGGGUUCCCGGGGCAGGCCGUGCCGGAGGGGCACCCUGCCUGGCUGUCAUUCGGGGGGGGGGGGGGGGGGGAAUCCCCCACGGCCCCUGCCGAGCUGGUCACGGAGCAUCUCCGGCGUACAGCCCCCUCUGCGGCCCCGGGGCCCCGACGGGGCGGGGGCCGCCCGGCUGCACACACCACCCCGCGACCAUCGUUUGCGGUGGGGAGGGUGUCCCCCCACCGUGUAGUGCUCUCCCAGCGCCCCGCUGACCCCAGAUGCCAAGAGGGGUGACAGUCGCGACACCUCCAUAGGAGACACCUCCGACCCCCUUUCCUGCCGGCCGGUGACCCUCGGUGGGCGCAGAGAGCCCCGGGCAGCGCUAAGUGGGCGGGGCCCGGCUGAGCAGCGGUUUUCCCCCGUGGCACCCACCCGUGCCCGCCCCGCACUGGGCUCCCGGGGCUGCAUGGGAGACCCACGGCUGGGGCGGACUCGGUACCGGCGGGCAGGCAAGUUAAGGUCUCUUAAGGCCAGAAGAGACCAUUAAAUCAUCUGCCUGACCUCCCGCAUUACAGGGCCGUAUAAUCUCAUCCAGUUCCUAAGGCAUUAAGACCAAUAAUUUGUGUUUGAGUAAAAUAUGCCUUCGAGAAAGGUCCCUGGCCCCGAGGCUUUCAAGAAAUGGCGAUUUUGCUCUUGUCCUGGAGAGUUUGUUGUGGCAGUUAACCCCUGAUUAAGGGAUGAGCCUCAUUUCCAUGACAAGUUGCCCUUGCCUAAAUUACUCCGAAUUGCCAGGCUUGUAUUUUGGAACCUACAAGUGCCGUUGGUGCGUGGUGGCCACCUCAGCUUUCUCCUUCCUUUCACCCAGGUGUUGUGCCUGGCGUAGCACAGACAAGGGCCUGGCUCUUCCUUGGGGCUCCUGAGGCAUUUGGCAUCUGACUUCUAGCUCCCCCCUGGCUUGGAGAACGUAGCAAGGAAGAGCCCCAGCACCUCAAGCUGGGUAGGCUGAUGGGACAUACCACUGAAAUCCAGUGCUCAAAGGGCCCAGUCCUGCCUUACUGUGGAAUGACGGGCCAACACGUCUUUCUAACCAAACCAGCACCCAACGGGAGAAGGGUGAGGUGAAUGCUGUUGGCAGGCACACCACAGCAGGAGGAAGCCAACCCCACUUCAGAGAAACAGCCCCUCACCUGCUUGUGCCGGCCUGAGGCUUCUAAUGUGAGGAAAAACACGCGGUGACAAGUGUGGAAAAGAGCAAGCACUAAAUUACUGUCAGAAAAAUAAACGGCGGAGCGCGGUGCUGCGCGGUGAUUUACGGGGGCAAUUAGCCAUCGCCCCCCGGAGCCGCCGAGGACGGCGGGGCCGCCGCAGCAUCCCCCGGGGCUGGCCCGGCUCCCGCCCCCGGCCCGGGCACCCGGAGCUCGCCUCCAUCCCGCGGCUCCUUUUUUAUUUUUUUUUUUUUGCCCACCCCAAAACGGGGGAUGCGGGAGGAGAGGGGAGCUGCCCCAAAAGCCGGAGCCUGUGUUCACGGGGAAGGUGCAAGUGCGGUGGCUCUGCUCUUUCGUUGUGGUGAGCGGCUGGUGCCCAGGUGUGCGGGGGUGAUUAAGGAGGCGAGGAAGUAAAGUUAAAUGAAAAAUAUUCUUGGAGAAGGGAAGCUGGAAAGCAGGGGUGGAAAAGUUGCUGGGGCUGGGUGGGAGGGUGGAGGUGGCCCUGCACGUCUGCUGGAGGUGGCAUGGGCCGUUGAGUGGCAGCCCUGCUGCUAGCUGGGGCUGGAUGUUGAACAAAUCUUAAUGCUGUUGUUUCACCAAGGUGGAGUCCAGGAGAGGUGUUUUAGUUUGAAGCUAGCAGCAAAGAAAGUAUAGACAGUUCAAGCUCCAGUUCAGCCUGGGACCAUGACAGCGAGCCCCCCGCCAGCGUGUUGUGGGAUUUCUUAGGGGGCAGCUGGAAGGACCAUCAAGUCCCUGGUCUUUGACCUGGACCAUGUGCCUGGGAAGGGGACCUGGGCCUGAGAGAUGCCAGAAUCCCAUUUCUGUCUUUAGGGACAGCAGUGAUGCUGCUUUGCCUCAACUCAUGUUAGUGGAUCCACUUCAAGCUCAUAGUGGUUUUGUAACUUUGUGCCACCCUGUCUGCCAUCCCUGACCUAGCGAGCCUUACUUAAUGCCCGUACAUCUAUUUUCAUUUUCUAAGGCCGUAUUCGUCACCUAGAAUUUGUGUCCAUCCCCUGAGCAGUGUUUGGCUCCUGCAGGAGGCAGCAGUAACUGACUUUGGAUGCACGUUCCCAUUAGACCUGCCAGCCCGGCGUCUGGCUCCUCCAAAUAGUUGGCUCUUGGAUCAUGGGAGACAGCCUGUCCGAGCUCACUGCAACAGCUGGUGCCAGCCAGCUCCUCGAGGACUGGUGCCAGCAGCAGGAGGAGUGUGCCAGGGCCUGCUCAUCAAACAGACCGGCAGCCUUCCCAUGGCUGCCACCGAGGGACAAAGGGAAAAGCAGCAGAGCAAGGCCCUCUCAACGUGGCACCUCGUGGGAAAGGCAGGCGUGUGCCUUUCGAAAGGGGAUGCAAGCUGGAGGAUGAAGAGCUGCUGCAGGUCCUGGUGACCUCGGUAAGUGGCCUUCCCUCUCUGCUGCCGUUUCCCAGCUGGUGGGAAGCAUGUGAUACUCACCGGCCUCUGGGAAGCACUCGAGACUUAUGAAUGAAAAGCAGAUCACAGCGGUGAAGCAGCAGUGUUUACUUUGGGGUCUGCCCUUGGCUGCUUCCUCGCUUUCUAGAAGUGGUUCUCGCGGGGACAUGGGUGCAUGCUCACACGAGGUGGUCCUGGUGUUUGUCUUCCCUCACAUGGCAGAGCUCUGCUUCUCCUGAAGGUUGCUUGGCUGCCUUCUAUUAAGUGAUGUGACCAGCAUCUCUCUCGUGUAAUUCUCUUCCUCCCACUGG
This is a long non-coding RNA of Tyto alba (common barn owl), 3066 nucleotides long. RefSeq lists it as uncharacterized. The transcript has 3 exons. NCBI's taxonomy places the organism in Eukaryota, Metazoa, Chordata, Aves, Strigiformes, Tytonidae. The record is from RefSeq and is a predicted model, not a curated record.